UUGUAUGUGAUGUCCAGUCUAUAUGUUGUUUGGUUAGUGCUACCACCAAGCUAUGAAGGAUGGUCGCGAACGUUUCGCAUACAUGCAAAUAUGACUUACUGCCAUCAACCACUACAAGAAAGACUUCUCAUGCUGGGUACUGGAUAUCCUGAUAAUCUCCGUCUCCAGUACUCGCUCUGCGAUUAUGGGCCAUCAACUCGUUCCUCAUAACACUCCAGCGGUGUGGAUCCUAAGGCUAAGGGAGUCAUUUUUUCUGUACCUUCAUUAGUAUCUUAUUAUUUUUCUUUGAUUUACACACCGACUUUAAAGAAGCCAAGUGUUUCUUCAAAUUUGGGCGCUAUAUUACUACGGGACUGCUUGUUUACCGGUAGGCCGCGCCGUCUGCCUCAUAGGUUUCUUUUGGGUGUAGUCAAAUCCCUGGCCCGCAGUCCGCACAAUGAUAACAAAGCUACACGUCUGUAGCAAAGCAGACCUAUACAACACAAUGCAAAACGAACCACAAACUGCGAUAACAUCAAACAGUCGGAACGUCUUACAAAUGAACAACAUAAACAGCUGCGACUACAAAUAAAGUUUUCCAGAUCAGGUCCCGGACCCAGCGUACCCGCCCUACCAUGAGACGAUCACCUUCACUCGUCUCCCUUAUUUUGGCCACUAGAUGGCCUUCAUUAGCCGUACAUGUCUCUCUUCAGGAUAUCACCAAGUUACUAUUUAUAAUUUCGUGCAAGUGGAUAUCACUGGCAUUUUAAUAGUUCCGUAUAAUUAUUUUUGUAUCUUCUCAUUGUUAUGUUAUGUCAUGGACAAUGGCUAUUAAUUUUUUUAAAUUUUGAAUUUUUAGCGAAGCAAAAACGUCACCGAAAGUUAAGACCAUUUGCCACCGGAACCACGUUAGAGGACAAAUGAAUUAUUAUGAAAGUCAGCAAUAAACUCUUCACAAGCUCGCA
This is a non-coding RNA of Drosophila virilis, 944 nucleotides long. The record is from RefSeq and is a predicted model, not a curated record. Lineage: Eukaryota; Metazoa; Arthropoda; Insecta; Diptera; Drosophilidae.